AAGUGGUUAGCGAAAAAUGUUGCGAUGGCUUCUACAAAAGUUCAGAUGGUGAUUGUUCGGAAUGUCCAGAUGGCUCCUACGGUAAAAACUGUAGAUUUAAUUGUAUCGCUCCUUUUUAUGGAAAACUCUGUGAAAGUUUAUGUGAAUGCAAAAGGUGUCAUCAUAUUUACGGGUGUGGAGAGAAUUUAACAACAGAAAGGUUUAGCUUGUAUAGCACGAAACCUACGGUGACUAAAAAAUGGAUAAAAGAAAUUUCUUUAACAGAAAUCACGAAAGAAUGGAACAAAGAAGUUACUUCAGCAAAAUAUGAAAAAGAAAAAGAAUCUGCAUUUUCUAUGGAGCAGGUUAUAGUUAUAAUAGUAGCAUCAUCAGCCAGUACUGUGGUGUCUAUGGUAAUUGUUAUUAUUUUCGUCUUGAUACUUAGAAGACUGUUGUGUGAAAAACAACGUUCUGGUCGUGCAGGGACUUUUAACGAAGCUAUAUUCACCAAUAAUGACAUAAGAUCACAGCUACCAACUCCCCAAGAACAUUUUAUUAAUACCCAGACAAGUGCCAUUCCUGAGUCCCAAUAUGAAACAGUUGACGAAUCAAACAUGAUAGAAAUCUCAGGCAUAAGAAUAGGUGAAGAAAGAUCGGCUUUACGCAACACGCAUAUCUCUAGUUCAAGCUGUGACAGCAAAACAUCUAAUGCCAGUGGAGUUGCAUCUGAGGAUACUGAAGGUUACCUCCAUCCAUACAAUACUCUACAAGAGAAUUGGCAAAAUAAAUGUUAUCAGUACAGUUCAUGCAGUCACAACUCUUAAACAACAAAUAACGACAGAAGGGAUAUCAACAAAAACUUCCAAUUUCAUACCAUCAAAAUAUACAUUAAAGAUAUAUUGCAGAUGGUCAAAACAUUAAAGUAGACACGUGUUGUUCGUUUAUUGUAUUUUUA
Long non-coding RNA from Mytilus californianus (California mussel), 934 nucleotides. RefSeq lists it as uncharacterized. Lineage: Eukaryota; Metazoa; Mollusca; Bivalvia; Mytilida; Mytilidae. The record is from RefSeq and is a predicted model, not a curated record. The transcript is spliced from 5 exons.